Molecule: long non-coding RNA, 1985 nt
Organism: Bos indicus x Bos taurus (hybrid cattle)
Lineage: Eukaryota; Metazoa; Chordata; Mammalia; Artiodactyla; Bovidae
Source: Ensembl
GGUAGACACCACCCUUUCACUUUGAUGGUGACAGACACUCGCUGAAUUCUCUCAGGCCAACUCCCCCCACCCCCCAACCACACACCUCACUCCCCGUAGAGGGGAACUGCAUUGGGAAUUAAGUCACUAUGCAGUAUUAAUCAGUUCCUCAACCUAUGGAUAGGUUUCCCUGAUGGCUCAGAGGGUAAAGCGUCUGCCUGCAAUGAAGGAGACCUGGGUUUGAUCCCUGGGUCAGAAAGAUCCCUGCGUCAGAAAGAUCCCCUGGAGAAGGAAAUGGCAACACACUCCAGUACUCUUGCCUGGAAAAUCCCAUGGACAGAGAAGCCUGGUAGACUACAGUCCAUGGGAUUGCAAAGAGCUGGACAUGGCUGAGCGACUUCACUUUCUUUCUUUCUUUCAACACAUGGAUUAGAUGUUUUAAAUGAGACUCAUCAAUCCAUCUCCAAUACUUUGGCCACCUGAUGAGAAGAGCUGACUCAUUGGAAAAGAUCCUGAUGCCAGGAAAGAUUGAAGGCAGGAGAAGGGGACGACAGAAGAUGAGAUGGUUGGCUGGCAUCACCGACUCGAUGGACAUGAGUUUGAGCAAGCUCCAGGAGUUAAUGAUGGACAGGGAGGUCUGGUGUGCUGCAGUCCAUGGGGUCACAAAGAGUCGGACAUGACUGAGGGGCUGAACAACAACAACAUCAAUCCAUCAAUCUCUAGUCCCACGCUGUGUCUCAUCGGUACUUUUCCCGGUCUCCCUGAGCGGGUGGCUGGUCCAGCCCAGUCUCCUCCAUGGAGAUGCCAGCCUGAAGCCGUCUUUGCUCUCUGCUCAGUCUCUCUCCUGGAUGUGUGCGUGGUAGGUUGCUUCGGUCAUGUCCAACUCUUCUCGACCCCAUGGACUGCAGCCCACCAGGCUCCUCUGUCCAUGGCAAUUCUCCAGGCGAGAAUACUGGAGUGGGUUGCCGUGCCCUCCUCCAGGGGAUCUUCCCGAUUCAGGGAUUAAACCUGUGUCUCUUGUGUCUCCUGCUCCGCAGGCGGGUUCUUCACCACUAGCUCCGCCCAUGUCUUCCUGCAGCUGGUUUCACUCUCUCCUCCUGUGCAGCAGGUCCUCCAGGAGGUCCUGGCUGGGGACUCGGGGGCUGUGCGCUUCCUAAGCGAUACAGGGCCCCGUCUGUCCCUGUCUCUGGGUGGCGGCCGGUCGGGCUGUGGAAUCUGGGUGCAAGUGAACUUUCUUGGCCAUGGAUGCUCCACCCUCUCCCAGCCUCCAGGACGCAGCAGAGAAGGUUGAAUACGUUCUGCGUCCUGAUCUUCUGUGGCCUGUUUCUGCUCCCCUCCCCAAGGAAACCUUACUUCCCGCGCAGGGAAGCUGCACUGGGCUGCAUUCAGUGGCUCCGCUCUGCGCCCGUGCAAGGUCCUUGGAGGCUCCGGGAGCUGGAUGGAAGGUCUUCACUCUGGGACAGAAGUCUGCCUCCCUCCCUGGCUCACCCCGGCUUGUGCUCUGGGGCUGCUCCCCCAGCGCUCUUGUCUCACGUCCUGCCCAUCUUCUCUCUGAAUCCUUGCUCUCCCUCACCCCCGUGUCCUCAUCAUUAGCUUCUCCGUCCUCCACCGUCAGCUAAUUAGUGUGCAGCAAUUUUUCCUUUUUGCUGAAUGCUCACUUUUAUGGGGCCAUGCUCUUAUUUUUGUGAAUGCAUUAUCUUUCCUCAUCUCUUUGAGCCUCUCUCUCUAUUUCUCCGGGAGUUUCCCCCCCGUCUCUGUUUAUUCCCAGUUCUCUUUUCCCGUUUGAGUCUGCAUUUCUGUCUUUUGUGUUGGAUGCCUUCUCGAUGUUGGUGACCCAGGGUGCGUCGCCGUCCAUCGUAUGUGGGUCAGGUUCUGUGAGCUGCACCCACACUCACUGCCACCCAGGGCGGAGCCUGGCGCAGCAGGCUGUCUGCUCCUGGUGCUGCCCUCCCCCCACUGGCAGAGUCCGAGCAGGGGGUGCUCGUGACGGCGUUGUCUGUGACUCU